Molecule: long non-coding RNA, 1554 nt
Organism: Acinonyx jubatus (cheetah)
Lineage: Eukaryota; Metazoa; Chordata; Mammalia; Carnivora; Felidae
Exons: 4
Source: RefSeq, a predicted model, not a curated record
UGAGUAGUAUAUGACAACAAAUCUCAUAUGAUCACCAACGGAGCCAAUGUUUCUCCCUCUCCCCCUGCCUCUCUCGCUGUGGGACUGUGGGUGAUCACCAAUGCAAUGUCACAUUUCUGCAAAAUCCUCAAAAGGAGGCAAAAGCAAGUGUCAUUGGCCAGGUUCCUUGUUCAAGUUGCACUAAAAGGAAAAGAUUCCACUGAGCGAUAGAUAGUAGUGAUUCCAUUAGUGAUAGUGAAAGUCGUGCUACACAAUAACCCUCUUCUCUCGUCUCCCUCAUACCAGCCACGAAGGCUUUCAAAGAGUAUACAGGGAAUGGUGCAUAAACCAUGCCGGAAGAAUCUUCGGUGAAUAUUUCACAGACCACGGUUACUAGGCAUGGCAUUUUUCAGCAUGUUUUAAUUGAGCAGCAAAGAACAUACGCAGUGCUCUGUACUGAGCCAGGGAAAAAUGUUACUGGAUGAAGCAAUGCUUUCUGUUUUCUGAAUCAAGCUCCUCAUUCCCCUUGCCUAGUCACACUCAACCCAGGCAGUCACAAGCAGAAAGACAAGAUGAACAGAACACACGUGACAUGGUGCAAUGCUACCCAGACGUUAGAGCUGAGUAUCUUUCCCUGGCAGAUGGGAAGAAGUGUGGUAAAGGGCCAAGAAGACAGGCAUUGACAUCAGACAGAACCAGGUUCAAACUCCAGUACGAUCGUUCACAAGCUGGGUGACCUUAAUAGGUUAUGUGACCUCAUCUCAAACAGAGACUGGUAACGACUUUGCAAGCUGUUCUAAAGAGUACACGCAGUAAUGUGCACUUAAUACACAUUCCUCAGUCCCAUCUUCUUCCUUCGACGAUGCCCAUGACAAGAAGGAAUAUCUUUAAAGGAAAGGAGCCCUAAGUCAUCAAGAGAGGCCUUCCGAGGUGUCCAAAUAGUUGCAGAACCCAGUAACACUGACGCUCUCUCAACCUGAAGAGGCACAUCAAGCUCUAUUAGAACAUUUCAGAUCUCUUGCUUCUGUCCAGACAAACAUGCUUGUGAAUCAUUUGCUUCCAUACGAGAAGCAGCCGGCUGGUCAGAAAUCACUGGGAGCAAAGUACAGCAAAUUAAUACAAAACAGUAUCAGUCUAAAAGCACCAGGCCACUCUGUAAGGAAACCUUUCCAUUAUUCCAAGGAAAUCAUUUUGCUUGUACAUAAGCGGGAAGCAGCAUGGUCUGAGCCUUCAUCAUUCACGGCAAGAACAGCAGAUUGAAGCUCAGGGGUCCUGGCCUUGCCAUUUUAAAGGUGUUUGGGGUAUGGAGAUGAAGAAGACUCUAAUGUGUGUGGAAGAAAGAAGAGUGAGCAAACCAUCCUCUGCCUCCUCCAGCUCAAGGUUCCAUUUUGCAAACCAAGAAGGCAAGGCUCACGGUUUAGGAAUCUUUUCCAAGAUGAUGAAGCAAUGGAGGUGGGAGGGUGGCCAAGAUAAUAGGCUUCUGAAGGAUUUGUGCACCAGCACCCCGAUCUUUCUACUGCUCGAGUGAAAGAAAAAAGAAAUUGUUCGCUGAAGUUUUUCUGUUGAGAAGACUUU